Molecule: long non-coding RNA, 1901 nt
Filed under: Malus domestica (apple)
Lineage: Eukaryota; Viridiplantae; Streptophyta; Magnoliopsida; Rosales; Rosaceae
Description: long non-coding RNA (MDOM_LNC008371)
Source: RNAcentral
UUUUGUGUGUUUAUUUGUGUCUUAGGUUACCUUCCAACACAAUGAUGAGGAUUUGGUUUUUAAUUGCCCGACUGUUAAAAAGAGUUAUAAACAUGGAUGGAAGUUUGAUAUGCUAUUUGGUUUAUGCUUGGUUAUAGUUAUAGUUUACGAAUUCACAUGUAAUCACAAAUGAAAAAAAAAAAACAGAUUUUGUAACAUGCUUGAAGGAAGGAACUCAAACUAACGCUACAUCCCUGAGAGACUUGAGCCUAAACUUUAUUUGGAGAGUUAUUAAUCUGUGCAUUCUUGCUUUCUAAAGUCGUUGCAUGAUCUCAUUAUUCUUUGCUUGGUUGUUACUUAGAAUGCGUUUCAUCACUUUAGUUCCAAAUACUAGAACUCAUGCCCGUUUCAUUCAAAACUUAAAAUUAAGUGCAUAACAUAUAACAAGAUGAAGUUGUUUAGUAGUUACCACCAGAGCCAAAAAGCCUUCAUCCCAUGCAUUUUUUUUUAUAGGUUUAACCCCUUUGAGCCUUAUUUAGCCUAUUUUUGUUGUUAGCCACAUCAUUCCGACCUAGCCUAGAAUAGGACUAUCCAUACCCCUGUUCUUAAAGUAUAGUGGAGCAUGACUUAGAGGGAAUUCAUUUUGAUCAAACAUAUUGCAGAAAUCAAGUGUGGGGGAAGGAUAUAUGCACGGGUUUGAAAAGAAAAAAAAAGAAAAAAAGAACAAACGUGAAAAAGAAAAAAAAAGAAAGAAAAGAAAAGUUGUGAAAUAAGUGAGAAUGAACUCACAAGUAUUAGUUGUUGAUAGGAGCAUAUGCAUGUGACUUAGUUAGCUUGUUCUUGUGCAUUUAUAUUGUUUUUCUUUAGUUAUUUUAGUGUUUAAAGUCAUUUUCGUGCAAUUUCAGGUUUAUAUGGCUAAUGUAGCAAAGAAGUGCAUUUGGAGCCUUUUUGGAGCAAAAUUGGGCUUGGAAUGGAUGACACAUGCUUGGAGCUAAAGGAAUGGACGAAAUUGAAGAUCAAAGGAGGCUAGGAAUGAAUAAAUGAAAAUGAAGAACAAAGAGUUCAGAAUUGGAAACCAAAGUUUCUAAAGUUGGAAUUGCUAUUCUUGGAGGUUUCCAUUCUUGAAAGUUUCUAUACUUGGAUUGGAAGUUUCCUAAUCCUUUCUCACCUAUAUUCUAAGCCCUUGCCGUGCCUUUCUUAAGCCAAUUCCAUGUGGAUUCUGAUUUGGCUAGCCUUAUUCCUUGUGGAUUUGGGUUAUACAAAUCCUUUUCAGAAACUAAGUGGGCCAAAACCCUUUCCUUGGUGGAUUAAACCCUUAUGCCGCAAAACCUAGGGCCUAAUCCUUUUAUUUCUGCAAAGUUAAACCCUAAUCUAUUUCCCCUAGGGUUGUGCCGCACAUAUCAUUUCUAGAAGCCUAAAAAUCUGCACAAACCCUAGUCUUUUCUCCCUUGGAUGGGCUAAGCCUUUUAAUCUACAAAACCCUAACCUUAUUCCAUCAGAUUUUGUGAAAACCCUAGCCUAUAAAUAUAAGUUUUUCAGCCACAAAUUCGUGAUCACCCCUCUGUUGGAAAUAUGCCCUGAAAGUCAAUCUUUGGAAGAAAUCUUUCAGGACAAAUGAAUCGAUGUAUGGAUGAUUCUUAUACAUCAAAAGGCAAAGAUACUAAUUAGGACUAUCUCAAUAAACGAUAUAAGUCCUGAAUAGUGAAUCCAUGGACAAUGGAUCGAUUGAAGAAGUAAUCUAAUGAGUUAGACUACAGAGACCUUCUUCACAUAACCAUUAUGUCCAAAAGGUUCCUGGUCGUUGGAUUGUCGGAGGGAUACUGACAAUGCUUAGACCGGUACAUACCUUGUCCGCUUCAAUUGGAAGGAUGGAAAGUCUCAACCCAUUCGUGUUGUGACACUAAGACAAGUAUGUAGGUGCU